This 376-nucleotide ribosomal RNA is filed under the name uncultured bacterium. Its description in RNAcentral is "bacterial SSU rRNA". It matches the Rfam family "Bacterial small subunit ribosomal RNA", at positions 524 to 898 of the family's 1533-position model. The record is from RNAcentral.
GACAGAGGUGCCAAGCGUUAGGCGGAAUCACUGGGCUUAAAGCGUGUGUAGGUGGAUUUGUAAGUACCUUGUGAAAUCCCAUGGCUCAACCAUGGAACUGCUCGGUAUACUGCGAAUCUUGAGCCACUUAGGGGCUACCGGAACAAAUGGUGGAGCGGUGAAAUGCGUAGAUAUCAUUUGGAACGCCAAUGGUGAAAACAGGUAGCUGGGAGUGUGCUGACACUGAGACACGAAAGCCAGGGGAGCGAACGGGAUUAGAUACCCCGGUAGUCCUGGCCGUAAACGAUGUCCACUAGAUCGUGGUGGCUCUGACGCCAUCAUGGUCGAAGCAAAAGUGCUAAGUGGACCGCCUGGGAAGUACGGUCGCAAGGCUAAA